CCAUUAUAAAAAAAAUUUUAUAAAUUUCGCAUGCUUCAACGAUAAUUGGCAAGUAAAAAAAAAAAAAAUACAAAAAUCAAAAGAAUACAUAUGGUCACCUCACCCACUCAUCAACACAUUCGGGCGCGCGACACUCAAAUCUCUAAACAUUUUCGUUUGUGAAGUGCCUUCAUUGGAGUUGUCAUAGACUGUCGUGCAGGGGCAUCACCACCAACUCCACCAUCACCACUACCAAUACCAACACCACCACCACUACUAUCACUACAGCCACAGCUACAACCACUAAUGCGCUUACAAUCACUUAUUAUACAUAGGUUGCAGGACAUCCUCAUCGACGUAAUUGUAACACAUGUGUGGCAACGCAUAUUCUAAAUUGAUCGAAUUAAAUAAUAAUAAGCAAAUUGAAAGUCUUAUGCGGUUUUGGCAUCAUCGAUUUGCCACAUACAUAGUUUGUUUGUGCAUAAAGUCCACAAGUUAAUUUUGAAGGCAGGAUUUGACAAGGGUAUAAAUCAUAAAUUCACAAGUUGCUCAUUGCACUCAGCGCCCACCACAAUGAGUUUGUGGAAGCGUAUCGCAUGCUUUCCAGAGCUCGAAAAACGCAUGACUCAGUACUAUGAUGGGAAGGGCCUCGCCGAGAUACGCGUGCAAUUCGCAGCAUGGAUUGAAGAUACUUUAAUGAGCCAACAACAACCGCCGGCUAGCGAUAAAAUUUUCGAACAAUUAGUUAACUCAUUCUACGAGGGCCUCAAGCAGAAGCUCAUUACUUUAGAUGGUGAUAAUUUGUUUAAAUUUAAGAUACGGGAAAUUUGCACACAUCUUGGACAAACAACACCCAUUGAGCUCUAUACGUACGUUCGUAACGGUCUGCUCCGUGAAAUUCAGGCAUUGAAGGAAAUGCCACAAAAUCCCUACAUGUAUAAUCCGGCAGUUGUAGGUUGUAAUGGGAUGGGUAUGAAUACGGGUAAUCCCUAUAUGGGUAGCGUCGGCGCUCACCUUGCUGAUGUACGUAUGACCGAGGAUACUUAUGCUUUGCCGGCGCGCAUACAAAAAUUGGCAGUCGAUGUUGACAAUAUGCGUUUGGCCAUACAAGGUUUGCAAGGCGAACAAGAAGCUGUGGUAAAAUAUUUCAAUCAAACGCGUGCAAUGGUGACGCCACAAGAGUUGGAGGAGCUGGAUAAUCAGUAUAAGCAACAAUAUCUGAUUUUGUGCAAUCGCAAGAAUGGUGUAGUUGAUGAUUUACGACGCGUAAUCAGCGAAUAUGACACCAUACAAGAUCAAGUGAUAAUGGCACUGAAAAUGUGGCAACGAAAUCAGGCGCUCGCUGGAAAUGGUGCGCCAUUCCAUGAUAAUUUGGAUGAUAUACAACGCUGCGUAGAGAUGUUGGUCGAUAUGGUCUCCAAAAUUCACGCUUUUGUCAACAAUCUGAUCUUGAUGAGCAUGGGUGAGACUGAGGACCCGAUACUGGCUGAGAUGCUCAACCACGUACGUUCUGUACAAAGGUUACUGGUCUUGUCGGCGUUUAUUGUAGAGCGGCAGCCACCUCAAGUAAUGAAAACACAAACGAGAUUCGCUGCAGCUGUACGAUGGUUAAUUGGCCCACAACUUGGCGUAUAUACGAACACUCCAGUUAUUGAAUGCGUUAUACUUUCAGAGGCCCAAGCACAACGCCAUGCAGCAAAUAACAGUAAUUCUGAUAUGCAACCUGGUUCUCCACCCCAAUCGUCCGGCGAAAUCAUAAAUAACAUAAGCACAAUGGAAUAUCAGCAAGCCACACGCGUAUUUUCAGCAAGUUUUAGAAAUAUGCAAUUAAAGAAAAUUAAGCGCGCCGAAAAGAAAGGAACAGAAAGCGUAAUGGAUGAAAAAUUCUCCCUACUCUUCUACACAACAGUGGUUUUCAAUGAAUUCAAAAUAAGUUGCUGGACACUUUCCUUGCCCGUUGUUGUGAUUGUGCAUGGCAAUCAAGAGCCCCAGUCCUGGGCCACUAUCACUUGGGACAAUGCAUUUUCAGAUAUAACACGCGAACCUUUCCAAGUUCCAGAGAAAGUACGCUGGGCGCAGUUAUCAGCAGCGCUGAAUACCAAAUUUGGCUCGGCUACUGGAAGAAAUUUAACUGAAGACAAUUUAAAUUUCCUUUACGAGAAACUUUUCCGCAACGAAGCCGGCGAGCAUACUGAAUUCAUUACAUGGGCGCAAUUUUGUAAAGAGCCAUUGCCAGACCGAUCUUUUACAUUCUGGGAUUGGUUUUUUGCAAUAAUGAAAUUGACAAAGGAUCAUUUAUUAAAUCUUUGGAAAGAGGGUUUAAUUGUUGGUUUCAUAAAUAAACGCAAGACGUUGGAGGAAAUCCUGCCGAUGCAACAGUAUGGCACAUUUUUAUUGCGCUUUUCAGAUAGCGAACUAGGUGGUAUAACUGUGGCUUUUGUCGACGAUCAGGGCAACAAGCUGAUGCUGGCGCCGUGGACCUCAAGAGACUUGAAUAUACGCUGUUUGGCGGAUCGCAUACACGACUUGAACGUGCUGCGUAUUGUUUAUCCGAAGAAUUUGCCACGCGAUGAGGCAUUCGGCAGCUUUUACUCACAUCAUGUUGAUGAACAAAAAACAACGCGAGAUGGAUAUGUAGCAAGUGAUAUAAGGGUUAAUGUACCGGCCAUAGAGGGUGGCUCUGUAGUGGGUACGCCACAGCAUCAGCCGCAAGAUAUACCUAUGCCAAAUGACAAUUUUAUUUCUGAAUUUGAUUCAAUUUUAUAUUGAUGGAUGCGGAUAGACACACACGCGCGCAUGAAAAUAUACACUUAUAUACACCAUAAGAAACUGAGCCAGAAAAAGUACGCAUGGGAAAUAAAUUAUACUAAAAUAUGAACACACAUUUGAUUUUUAUGCCAUCAAAGAGCUAUGAAAAUUAUAAUUGGUUGGAAAAUGCAUUACUUCGUUUCAUAGUCAUGAGUUCACUAGCAGCAAGCAAGUAAUUACAUAUGUAUACAUAAGUAUAGUCAAAUAGCUAUUAGUAAUAACCCGCGCACACCACGCCCAUCACCACAAUCCAACCACACCAAAUAAGUGAGAUAUGCGCAUUAACAAUAUCCUUCGACGUCCAUUACUAGCCAAUACGGCCAAGCGACCAUUUCAAUCACCGACGAUGCUGAGCAUUUUCAGAUAUUGCUGAAUUUCUGGUUUUGCAUAUACGUAGUACGUGCAUGCUGGAAUUUAAGCGGAAUAAUGGAUUAAAAACCACAAAUCCUUCUGGGGACGUAAGGAUAUCCAAUUAUCAUUUCUUGUUACUACAUUAUGCGUCUACUUUCAUGUUGCAAGUCAAUGCUGAAAACACAUAACCUGCAUGCUGUGUCACCUUGAAAUUGUAAUAAGUUUGUAAUCUUAAAAGUGUUUGCCUAGUUUUCUUCUACUACUCUUUCUUACAAACACCCUCGCAAACUUUUAUUCAUGUUUGUGGUUAAUAUGCGCAUAGUUUAAAAGUAAAUGUAAUAUUUUUACACUCGUCGUUGCCUUAUAUAUUUACACUAAAUUUUGUUUGUUUAUAUAUUUUUGAACUGUUUUUAAUAGUGAAAUGAACUAUUCGAUGUAUUGUACUAGUUUAUUAAUGAUACCUGUUGUGUUGUGGUAAACCAAACAAAACUGAAAUAUACAAAUUUAAUUUUUGUUUAAUGCAUGCGAAAAGGGCUUUAUAUUACGUAAAAAAAUAUGUAGACAUUACAUUUAAAUGUUUAAAUAAGUGAAGACUAAAAUAGGUUUAACGUAAGAGCAUAUAAAGUGAAAUUGUGAAGCAAAGAGAUAGAAAAUAAAUAUUAACGGCAAACCAGUCAACGAUAAAUGUUGAAUGUUUCAUGAUAAUUGUGAAUACGUAAUUUAAGUGUAAUUAAUUUAAGCAAUGAAAGUAUGAGUAUACUCACUUAAACGAAAUUUACUAGAGGGCGAAAUAUUCAAGUAUGGUUAUACAAACUUAUUUGAAAUUUAUUUAAAGUGUUUUUUGUUCUUACAAAAUUCUGCGUGGUUGUGCAAAUAAUAUGUGGUCAAAUAAAUAGAGCCAAGAUAAGAAUAAAUUGUGUGGUUCUUUUGAAAUUGAAUAAUCUUUUUUCAAUGCAGCUAAACUUAAACAAUUUUUUUUUAGUUUUUCGCAUAACAGAAAGUAUCACCUGGAACUGGGAGGUCGCCGCUCUAACACAUACCAUACCAGUUGAUGUACUAGCAGGUUUGCUAGAAUGUUUGGCUUUUCACUGCAGCCCAAUUACUGGAAAUUUAUAACAGCAAGGAAUCAAUAUCGACGUCAUAUACUCAACCCCCUCUAAAAAUGUACAAAUUUUACAAAAACUAGUUCCUGACAUAAGCAUCUAUUUUAGGCCUAUCCUUAUGGUUUAAAAUAAUACCAAAGUUGAAGUCGCAGAUGUAUUCAAAUAUCAGAAACAAUUUUUUGUGAGAACUGCAGAUUGAGGGUAUUGAUUAUAAGCCCUCUCUUGGCAAGAGAAACACAUGAGAAAAUCAAAAAAUUUAGGCUCUAUUGAUUGUCCACAUGUGUAUAUGUACUAUACGUACAUAUACAUACUAUUAUUUUCCUUUUACAUUGGAUUUUUUUUCUAGUAUUAUUUACCGGGCAAGUUCGCUAUAUGGUUUUGAGUUUCUGUAGCUAAAAUUUGAAAAAGGUAAUUCACAUUUUUUAAGUGCAGUAUUUUAUUUUUUCAAAAUCUAUUUUUUUUUUUAUGAAAUUCGUAUAUGCCUUUGAUUCGCUUCAAGCUAUAUUAUACUUAAAUUUUUGUGGCAUUCUUCGUGCAUCUCCUUCCCUUUUCAUCAAAUACAAUACUUACUUACAUAUAUUAUAAGCAAACAAAUUUGACAUACUUUUCUUAUGGUAUGUAAGUCUUCGGGGUUUUAAUAUGAAUUCUUAUACAUACAUUAAAAAAAGUGCAUCAAACUUAAUUUAAAUAAGUAUUUAAUAAUAUAAAUAAAAUUUUGAUUAUCAAUUUCUUUCAAAGAGCAGGCGGUGUAUAUUUAACAAAUGUAUAACUAUAUGUAAUUUGGAAAACGUUUAUUGAAGUUGACCGCUCGAACGUAACAUUGAUUUGUGAUUUUUCUUACAAAAUUUUUAGUAAUUGGCUUCCACUUUCGUUUUUCUAUAAUAGUUAUUUAGUAAUAAUUAAAAUAAAUGCAUAUUAAGUUUGUAAAAAGGAAUUAAGAAAUUGCAGUUUGUUGUUGGUUUGGCUUGUGUUGUAAAGAUAAAUAGUUUGUAAGAAGGGAAAUUAAAUACAUUAAAUGUAUUAAAACUCAUCCGAAUUCACGAUUCACAUAUGUAUGUGUGUAUGUAUGCAUAUGGAUGUCAAGUCAAAAGGUAUAUUUUUAGUGUUAGAAAAUAGUUGAAAAAUGAUAUACAUGCAUAAGUAAAUGUACGUUUAAUUUUACAAUAAGCAGCAUUAAUAUUCGCUUAUCUUUAAAUAUGCGGUUAUUUUCUUAAUUUCUAAUCAAAGUUUGUAAACAAUUUUUUGGACCGAGGGUAGUAGUUACUUGCAUAGGGUGCUAUAUUUCUUAAACAAAAAAAAAACUUGUAAAAACUUACUAAAAUAAGGGUAAUCACAAUAUUGUGCGAAAGGCCUGGCAUGCACAUAUUUCGGUGCGUUUGUAAAAUUUAUCUGCAAAGCAAUAUACAUUUUCAUUCUUGUGAAUGUGCAUGAAAUGAGAUUGUGAUUACCCGCAAUACGUACAUAUUUCACAGGGUUAGACCAAAUAAUCACUCGCAAUUUUUCGCAGCACCGCUACAACGCAAUUCUAUUUCUUUUGUAUUUAGGAUGCGAAUAUUAUUGAUGCUAAUUGUAUGCAUACUGAGAGUAUGCACUACUCUUCAAUUGAAAAAUCGCGCAUAGAAAUUUAAAUUUACAAAUUAAAUUUUACCAUACACACUAUGUAUAUUAUAUUCUACAUACAUAUGCAUAUAUAUAAUAAUAAAGCAAAAAUAAAUAUAUAAAUGAAAUUUAUAUGGAGCAUGUUAAAAUUGAAAACUUAUUUAAUUACACUCAAAUUAAAGUCUAGUUUUUAAGCCCACAUAAAAUGUUUACUUGUAUGAUGUUUAUGUGUUUAUAAUAUGUCUGCUAUAAACUGAAUGUUCACAUGUCAGCCAUAUUUACAACCUACUUUGUAUACCUACAUACAUAUGUAUACACAACUCUGAAGAACUACAUAAACUUUUUACUAAAAAAAGCAUAGUUUAAAUUGCGACGCACUGGAUUUGAAGGAGUCUGAUGUUACGACAGCGAAGAGUUCAAAACGUAAUACUACCAGCAGCCUCUUGAACCUAAUUCGUAUAAACUAAAAAAUCGUUGACUGUUCAGCGUAAGCAAUAAAUUUUACACACACACACACACACUUACAAAAUGUACUCGAUAGUACUCGAUCUUUUUUAACAGAAUUUCUAUAUUUCUAUGCAAAAUACCCAAUAUGGAUGUAUUUUUUUAAUCGGAUUUUAUUAGCCACAAACAUACAUACAUAUGUAUAUGCAUGUACUAUUCUCUUUAAUGUACUCGAGCCUUUAACGAUGCAUUCACAAUGCACAUACAUCAACGUUAAAUGUUAAUGAUAAUGAAAUUAAAAUAAAAAGUACAUCGAAGUAAAUUAUACUACAAUUUAUGGAAUAAUGAUGAAGAAAACAUCAUUGCACAAUUGCACACAUGUAGCAUCCUUUUGGUGGCGAAUUAAAUGUAUGUUAUGUAUUGCAAAUUUAUUUACAGCAACACUGAAAAUAAUAAAUGAGUAAAUAAAGCAAAUUUGUGAAACUUA
RNAcentral lists this unclassified non-coding RNA (6771 nucleotides) under Rhagoletis pomonella (apple maggot). RNAcentral describes it as "signal transducer and transcription activator-like, transcript variant X3". Lineage: Eukaryota; Metazoa; Arthropoda; Insecta; Diptera; Tephritidae. The record is from RNAcentral.